Molecule: ribosomal RNA, 377 nt
Filed under: uncultured Glomeromycotina
Lineage: Eukaryota; Fungi; Glomeromycota
Description: LSU rRNA
Source: RNAcentral
UUGAAAGGGAAACGAUUGAAGUCAGUCGUACCAGCGGGNNAUCAACCUUUCGAGUGGGGNNUUUGGAGUUUUUUGAAGAGUGUCAAAACCUUUGAGAUUUCAAAAUAUUCGCUCUUUUGGUGUACUUUCUCGUGGGUAGGUUAACAUCGAUUUCGAUCAUCAUAAAAGGAUUGGAGGAAUGUAGCUUCGAUCUUGUAUUGAAGUGUUAUAGCCUUUGGUAAAUGUGAUGAUUGGGAUCGAGGAUUGCAACGAAUACCCUUUUGGGCUAUCCGCCUGAUCUCUGAUACGUGGCCUUGGCAUCGAAAGCUUGCUUAUGGUAUCAAGGUAUUACGGUCAAAAGGUUAGAACGGAUUACAUUCGUUAAGGAUGUUGACGUA